Molecule: ribosomal RNA, 253 nt
Filed under: uncultured bacterium
Lineage: Bacteria
Description: partial 16S ribosomal RNA
Rfam family: Bacterial small subunit ribosomal RNA
Source: RNAcentral
UACGGGGGGGGUAAGCGUUGUUCGGAAUUACUGGGCGUAAAGGGCUCGUAGGCGGCCAACUAAGUCGGCCGUGAAAUCCCUCAGCUUAACUGGGGAACUGCGUCCGAUACUGGAUGGCUUGGAUUUGGGAGAGGGAUGCGGAAUUCCAGGUGUAGCGGUGAAAUGCGUAGAUAUCUGGAGAAACACCGGUGGCGAAGGCGGCAUCCUGGACCAACAUUGACGCUGAGGAGCGAAAGCUAGGGGAGCAAACGGG